UCUGAUGCCAUUUCCAGAGAACGUGCACACAGUGGCCCUAAAGGCGUAGGAUAUUCUAAAGAUGUACCUUGUCCAUCUGAGUUAUCGGAAGUCAAGCCGUUAGGACUGUGCUCUUCUGAGCUCUGCCUGUAAAGCCCUGCAGACAACCUCCUCUCGGCAUGCUGCAGUCUCUCAUAGCCAGCUUGGUUGCAAAGGAACUCCAUCUGCUUUGCCAUCACCUUUUCAGGCUGCUACUGAAAGUGGACUCACAGAGGGCUGUGUUCCAGUGGACAUGUUAUUCAUUCCGUCUAAGCAGAAGGAUUCCCAACCUCACUUACUAACUAGCUGAAGAAACGUUUCCCUAGAGAUUUCAUUCCAAAUGGUAGGUUCCCUAAGGCACACCUAAGCUAGCAGGCAAUCUUUUUUUCCAUGUCCAUCUCAUUAUAUUCUAGGAAUUAAAGUUCAAAAUCUGUUUUUUAAUGUUUAACAUACCCUGUAAGGAGGAACACUAUUUAAGGACAACAGAUUAUCUUGAUUACUUAUAUGCAAUGUGUAUACUGCUAUUUUUUUCUUUUUAAAUCAAAUAAGUAACUAACUAUCCUUUAAGGGGGGAACAACCUACUACAAAAAUAAGAGCUUUCCAGGUAGAAAAAUCAGACAAGUGAAUGAAUUAAAACUUCAUUCCACCCAAGCCUUCAUGUAUAGAUCAGGAAAACACAGUAUUUAGCAACGAAAGAUCUUACUGAGCUUGAACAAAGCACUACUUGUAUUAGUGUACCCUAAUGCAUUAAUAAUGACAAGCAAGAAAAUGUUUCUCUUUCCUUUACAUGUCAAAUUAU
Molecule: non-coding RNA, 818 nt
Filed under: Pongo abelii (Sumatran orangutan)
Lineage: Eukaryota; Metazoa; Chordata; Mammalia; Primates; Hominidae
Source: RNAcentral